CGAGGAGGUAGGGCUUACGCUUGCGUUUGUCUGUUAUAUCUUGGUGGACGAGUUGUCGCGGUUGGGACUGAGGUGCCUACAACGUGCUUUUGAGUGAGUUUGUGUCUCCGUGUGCGCCGUGUGCGGAUAGCUUGCUAUGUAUGUGCGGUUGUGUGUGGAUUGAUGCGGGCCUUAACUUGUUGCCGUUCGGGACGUUGGCGAAAUGGAGCGAUCCGACCCGUCUUGAAACACGGACCAAGGAGUCUAACAUGUGUGCAAGUGUUAGGGUGUGGAAACCCCAGCGCGAAAUGAAAGUGAAGGGCAGCGCAAGUUGUCUGAGGUAGGAAACGUUGUGGACUUCGGUCUGCGGCGUGGCACUAUCGACCGAUCAUGAACCUUCGUGGUGAAAGAUUUGAGUUUGAGCACAUAUGUUGGUACCCGAAAGAUGGUGAACUAUGCCUGAGUAGGGUGAAGCCAGGGGAAACUCUGGUGGAAGCUCGUAGCGAUUCUGACGUGCAAAUCGAUCGUCAAACUUGGGUAUAGGGGCGAAAGACUAAUCGAACCAUCUAGUAGCUGGUUCCCUCCGAAAUUUCCCUCAGGAUAGCAGCAACUUAUUUACGAUAGUUUUAUGAGGUAAAGCGAAUGAUUAGAGGAUUCGGGGAAGAAACUUCCUCGACCUAUUCUCAAACUUUAAAUCUGUAAGACCUGCAGGUUUCUUAAU
Molecule: ribosomal RNA, 700 nt
Filed under: Pseudoperonospora cubensis
Lineage: Eukaryota; Oomycota; Peronosporomycetes; Peronosporales; Peronosporaceae
Description: LSU rRNA
Rfam family: Eukaryotic large subunit ribosomal RNA
Source: RNAcentral